AUGGGGUCUGGAGAGAGAGGCAUUGAUGUGCUGAGGCUGCUCUCUGGCCACUGGGACCUAGAGGUAGGAGCUGACUCCAGAGGCCACAUCCCUCUCUGGAAGAUUCAACAUGCAAAGGAAGAGGAAUUUUGGAAUGAAGAAAGCCACUGCUGGCCCCUGAGUCCAGAGGAAGCUCCCUCCCUGGCGCUAAUAUCCACAGAUAUGGUGGUUGGAGCCCCAGCAGCCAUUUUGGACCAUGAGGAUGGAAACCAUGGAAUAAGUAUGGUGUGGCAGAAAGACCAAAGGAGGCUGAGUCCCUGAUAAUAUAAUGGAGCUGCUGCACCAACUCUUAACUGUCUGACUCCAGACUUCUUUGAUUUGAGAGACUAAACCGCGGAUUUAUUUAAGCCACUGUUGUCAAUAAAAAGCAGUUAGGAAUACAGUUCCUAGAAGGCACAUUCAUAGUUUCAUUUCACACUAGAAAAAUGGAAUAAAAUGUGUUAUAAGUUGUUUGUGGGGGGGAGGGGGCUUGCUUUUUUCCCUUGAGGUGAUAAAAGCAACAUGUUCUCAGUAUUUACCAGCAAACCAAAGGCAAAGUUCAUUGUCACAAUGUGAGGAGCCCCACUGAGACAACUAUUUAUUGGCCUAAAUUGGUUUUUCAGAUCUCUGGUGCUGAACACUGGGAGGUGGUGUGAGAGGGUGAGGAGACUGCGUAUGUCUACCUAGGAAGGGGACUAAACAGGAAGGAGACCAGCAGCCCAUCUUAUCCUUGGAAAGGUGGGUUUGUAUUUCUGCCCCUAGUACAGGUAGGUAGGUGUGAGAUCCACCUUGAAUCUAUGGGAAAGCUGAGUAUAUGCCCUGGACUGGGAUAUGGUGUAGAUGGGUCCGGGGUCAAAUCUUGUGACCAGAAUUUAGCCCAGUGGCCUUAAUUCUUGGUCCCAAUUUCCCCCACC
RNAcentral lists this long non-coding RNA (932 nucleotides) under Papio anubis (olive baboon). RNAcentral describes it as "lncRNA (ENSPANG00000045697.1)". The record is from RNAcentral. Lineage: Eukaryota; Metazoa; Chordata; Mammalia; Primates; Cercopithecidae.